AAAGCAAAACUCUUACAACUGAAUGAUCCAAGUAACAUAUCUUAACGCAAAACUUUUUUAGUACCUAAUAUUAGAAGUGUUCGGAUCCGAUACGGUUUGAAACGGUUCUUUAGCUCAGUUUGGGAUCUUGAAACCGUGCACAGCCGUACCUAACAUUAUGAGGAAAUAAGCAUUUCAGCGCUUCCAUCCACCUCCAAGCAUGGAGCCCUUCCAUGCAAGCAACGUACCUUGCAAGCAAGCAACGUACCUUGCCCUGAGUCUUUUUGGUCUUUGCCAUUAUCUCAGCCUUCUUAGGCUUCUUUUCAUUCUUCAUUCUCUUAAUUCUCUUCUUAAUUUAGCAGAGUGCAGCCUUUCUUGCAGCAUCACAUACUUCAGGCUUCUCAGCUCAUCUCUUCUAUAUAACUUCAAAGUAACACCAACUAUGGACCUUGAGUAAGGCUUUUUUUGCAGUGCAACUGCAACGUCUCUUCUUAACAGUUUCAGCAGUAACAUCCUCCGGGUACAUGGCUAUCCAAGAUAGCCUUCAGGGCUUCAGUUGGUUGCGCAAGUACCCCUUGCCUUUUGAAUUGGCAAAAAGGAAGGCCUGGGAAUCUAAGUGAACAAAUCUAAAAUGGAUCUGUUGCUUGUGACAACUGUUCUAUUGCUCAA
Molecule: unclassified non-coding RNA, 648 nt
Filed under: Hevea brasiliensis (rubber tree)
Lineage: Eukaryota; Viridiplantae; Streptophyta; Magnoliopsida; Malpighiales; Euphorbiaceae
Source: RNAcentral